Molecule: ribosomal RNA, 301 nt
Filed under: uncultured bacterium
Lineage: Bacteria
Description: partial 16S ribosomal RNA
Rfam family: Bacterial small subunit ribosomal RNA
Source: RNAcentral
CAGUCGCCGCGGGAAUACGUAGGUCCCGAGCGUUGUCCGGAUUUAUUGGGCGUAAAGCGAGCGCAGGCGGUUAGAUAAGUCUGAAGUUAAAGGCUGUGGCUUAACCAUAGUACGCUUUGGAAACUGUUUAACUUGAGUGCAAGAGGGGAGAGUGGAAUUCCAUGUGUAGCGGUGAAAUGCGUAGAUAUAUGGAGGAACACCGGUGGCGAAGGCGGCUUACUGGCUCAUACUGGACGCUGAGGUGCGAAAGCGUGGGGAGCAAACAGGAUUAGAUACUCGCGUAGUCCCUGUCUCUUAUACA